GUCUGGGAAAACAAAAGAAGAAUCAUGGAGAAGGUCACAAUUAAAAAAUUUGUUAAAACUUCUUGAAGAGAAAGAAAAUGAUAUAUUCAAAGCUCUCAAACAAGACUUGGGAAAACACAAAGUUGAGGCUUAUAGAGAUGAGGUUGGAACAUUAGUAAAAUCUGUCCAUUAUGCGCUGGAUGGUUUAAAACAAUGGAUGUCUCCCAAAAAGGCUAAAUUGCCAAUUGCUGCAUUUCCUUCUUCAGCAG
RNAcentral lists this unclassified non-coding RNA (248 nucleotides) under Hevea brasiliensis (rubber tree). Lineage: Eukaryota; Viridiplantae; Streptophyta; Magnoliopsida; Malpighiales; Euphorbiaceae. The record is from RNAcentral.